UGGGGAAUAUUGGACAAUGGGCGAAAGCCUGAUCCAGCAAUGCCGCGUGUGUGAAGAAGGUCUUCGGAUUGUAAAGCACUUUCGACGGGGACGAUGAUGACGGUACCCGUAGAAGAAGCCCCGGCUAACUUCGUGCCAGCAGCCGCGGUAAUACGAAGGGGGCUAGCGUUGCUCGGAAUGACUGGGCGUAAAGGGCGCGUAGGCGGUUCGGUUAGUUAGGCGUGAAAUUCCCGGGCUUAACCUGGGGGCUGCGCUUAAUACAGCCGGGCUUGAGUUCGGAAGAGGGUCGUGGAAUUCCCAGUGUAGAGGUGAAAUUCGUAGAUAUUGGGAAGAACACCGGUGGCGAAGGCGGCGACCUGGUCCGAUACUGACGCUGAGGCGCGAAAGCGUGGGGAGCAAACAGGAUUAGAUACCCCGGUAGUCC
RNAcentral lists this ribosomal RNA (424 nucleotides) under uncultured bacterium. RNAcentral describes it as "bacterial SSU rRNA". It matches the Rfam family "Bacterial small subunit ribosomal RNA", at positions 355 to 796 of the family's 1533-position model. The record is from RNAcentral.